GGCGUAAAGGGCUCGCAGGCGGUUUCUUAAGUCUGAUGUGAAAGCCCCCGGCUCUACCGGGGAGGGUCAUUGGAAACUGGGGAACUUGAGUGCACAAGAGGAGAGUGGAAUUCCACGUGUAGCGGUGAAAUGCGUAGAGAUGUGGAGGAACACCAGUGGCGAAGGCGACUCUCUGGUCUGUAACUGACGCUGAGGAGCGAAAGCGUGGGGAGCGAACAGGAUUAGAUACCCUGGUAGUCCACGCCGUAAACGAUGAGUGCUAAGUGUUAGGGGGUUUCCGCCCCUUAGUGCUGCAGCUAACGCAUUAAGCACUCCGCCUGGGGAGUACGGUCGCAAGACUGAAACUCAAAGGAAUUGACGGGGGCCCGCACAAGCGGUGGAGCAUGUGGUUUAUUUCGAAGCAACGCUAAGAACCUU
RNAcentral lists this ribosomal RNA (417 nucleotides) under Bacillus subtilis. RNAcentral's name for it is "bacterial SSU rRNA". It matches the Rfam family "Bacterial small subunit ribosomal RNA", at positions 557 to 972 of the family's 1533-position model. The record is from RNAcentral. Lineage: Bacteria; Bacillati; Bacillota; Bacilli; Caryophanales; Bacillaceae.